CCUACGGGGGACAGCAGUGGGGAAUAUUGCACAAUGGGGGAAACCCUGAUGCAGCGACGCCGCGUGAGUGAAGAAGUAAUUCGUUAUGUAAAGCUCUAUCAGCAGGGAAGAAAAUGACGGUACCUGAGUAAGAAGCCCCGGCUAACUACGAGCCAGCAGCCGAGGUAAUACGUAGGGGGCAAGCGUUAUCCUGAUUUACUGGGUGUAAAGGGAGCGUAGACGGCAGUGCAAGUCUGGAGUGAAAGGCGGGGGAUAAACCCCCGGACUGCUCUGGAAACUGUACGGCUGGAGUGCAGGAGAGGUAAGUGGAAUUCCUAGUGUAGCGGUGAAAUGCGUAGAUAUUAGGAGGAACACCGGUGGCGAAGGCGGCCUGCUGGACUGCGACUGACGUUGAGGCCCGAAAGCGUGGGGAGCAAACAGGAUUAGAUACCCCUGUAGUC
Molecule: ribosomal RNA, 440 nt
Filed under: uncultured bacterium
Lineage: Bacteria
Description: partial 16S ribosomal RNA
Rfam family: Bacterial small subunit ribosomal RNA
Source: RNAcentral